Long non-coding RNA from Leopardus geoffroyi (Geoffroy's cat), 3924 nucleotides. RefSeq lists it as uncharacterized. The transcript is spliced from 9 exons. Lineage: Eukaryota; Metazoa; Chordata; Mammalia; Carnivora; Felidae. The record is from RefSeq and is a predicted model, not a curated record.
UCAUGACCUGAGCCAAAGUCAGACGGUUAACCGACUGAGCCACCCAGGAGCCCCUAAGAAGUGUUUUAAAUACACAUUUGUUGAGUUCAAAGAAAAUUGGUCGCUAUAUGCAUUUGUACCUACUGGUAAAUGGCAGGGAGAGAGGAGUAGCCUUACACCCCCACACACGGAAUUUGAGAAGAAAGUGAAAGCAGAAACCGUUUCCUCCUUGAUAACAUGGGAGAGAGAACCUUACUCUGCUUGUUCCCAGUUGCUUCCAGCCAUAGUUGUUCUCUUCUGUCCCACAUGUUCAGAUCUGAUUGUCAGAAGAUGACUCUGGCCAUACUGCUUCAGGCAGAGAAGAACUUGCGUUCUUUUGCAGGGCCUGGCUCCCAGCUAUUGCCUCCGUAGCGGAAUCUGACACACUGAUAGAUGACAGGCCAUCUGAUACUCUAUCCAACAGAGGACAGUGGCUCAUUUCCGCUCUCACAUAACAUUUGCUCCAGAAAUGGAUUUUCUGAAACUUUCCACUUAAAAAGCUGUGGAUUAACUUUAGUGAGGCCAGCAUAGUGGAAACUAAGCAGAGCAUAUAACCUCAGACCGUUGGGCAGGCGCACUUUGUCACGGCUCUGCCUUAAUUCACUGCGUAUUACUUUCUUUGGAAUUCGCAACCAGAUUCUACACCAUUCACUUUUAACAUCUGGAAAUACGCAAAGCAUUUGGCUAUUUGUUCACCUUGUUUAAGGUGUCCACCUACGUCAGGUACCUUGCAUGUGAUUUACACAGUGAAUGGCCCUGCUUUCGGAGCAAGUUAAUGAUAUAAUAUCCCCAUUUAUAUUCAGAGCAGUCAACACUUUCCAGCUCUCAGAAUAAUAAAAGCACCUGCAUUUAAUAUACAUGGAAGAAUGGAAAGGCAAAUAGCAGAUAAGGCACAAUCAGGGGAAGACAGUUUAUCAGAAACUGAUGUCUCCGAGAACUUCCUCACUUUUGGCCACUGGCAGCUGGAAACCUAACUGUGUAUCUUAGCCUUGUGUGGACCCUAACGCAACAUAACCAUAUGGAGUCAAAUGGAAAGCUUCGUAUUCGCAAGUCAGAACUGAACAGACCUGGUUUGUAGAGUGGGAUUUAGCACGCUUUCUCUCCUUUUAAGUUACUCUUUGUUGGAGGCCAGUGAUCUCUUCACUGAACUCACUGGGCCUCACCAGAGACCAUGAGGACAUGGGGAAUAUAAGGGACAAGGCACGGGGAGGGCCCAGGUGCGGAGGGGCUGUUGCACGAGCUCGGGCUGGCCCGCAGUCGGCCCUGGUGUUGACGUCUUUGGUGGCAGGGCUCCAGCUCCUUCCCAGAGGGAUCACAAAGUGCCUUUGCUCUUCCCUGCUGCAAUUGGAGCAGGAUAUCAUGUGUAGAAAAUGCAAUGGACUGCCCCAUCUUCUGAGAAGAGCUGUAGUCACUCUCUUGUUCCUCCAUUCUGAUGCUUUCGUUUGCUUUUCUAGAGUAGUAGCCCUGGGCACUGGUCAACAGGUGUGUAUUUAAAUGAAAUUUUCUUAAGUAUGAGCAUGAGGGAGAUGAAAUAACUGUCCACUGCAUUUAGAGCCACUCUAUUUUUAUGGAAACGAUUCUUCCCAAAAUAUCUCUGUCUCUUCAGCUGGUUUAGUCAGCUCAGACUGUGAGAACAAAAUAACGUAGGUGAGGUGGCUUAAAGAACAGAAAUUUAUUUUCUCUCAGUUCUGAAGGCUGUACGUCUGAGACCAGGGUGCCAGCACGGUCGGGUUCUGGUGAGAGUUCUCCAGCUGGUUUGCAGACAGUGGGCAUCUCAGUGUGUGCUCACAUGACCUCUUCUUUGGAAAAAGGGAAAGCAAGCUUUGUGGUCUAAGAUGUCUUCUUACAAUGACACUAAUCCAUGAGACUCUCCCCUCAUGAGCUCAUCUAAACCUGUUUACCUCUCAAAGGUCCCAUCUCCAGGCACCAUCACACUGUGGGUCAGGGCUUCACCAUAGGAACUGGGGGGGCUACGGGGUACAAUUCACUCCAUAGCAUUACCCAGUAGUGUCAUUGUGGCAAUGGUAGUAAGGCAGAGACAAAGAGAGUGACUGCCUGGCAAAAAAAAAAAAAAAAAGAAAAAAAAAAGGUUGACAUGAAGAGUAUUAGUAGUUCACUCCAUGAUGGAACAAAUGUGAAUUAUUAUCCAUUCUUUUCACACACGCCACCCCUCACUGGCCCACUCACCUACAUACCCACUUGAGACUUAAAGAGAUCACAGGAGAAGGCGUUGUGUCAGGGAUUAAGUGGAAAAGUAACAACUUUCAGGAUGUUUAUGAUGUCAACAUUCUCUUGUCUUUUCUACUAUACUUUCUACCUUCCCCGUAACGGGGACCAAUAACUGGUUUCAGAAUGAUGGAAUAACCCACAAGGGGGCUUCAUUCACCAAGACGGUUCAGUUAUGUUCUAAAUACCAAAGAUGACAGAACUAAUUUUCAGAAGAUUUUUAAUAACAGGAGUGAAAGUAAGGAGUUUGUGAGGAAACAUGGGUUAAUUACAAGCCCCUCUUUUCAGAGUGUCCCAUUUCAUAUAAUGGGACAUAUAAUUCUCUUUAACGGAAUUCAUCAUUGAAUGCUUUUGGGGAAGUGGGCUGAGAUUUACAUUUUACAACUGGAAAACUGGAAGCUUCUUCAAGGUCAUCAGAAGAGAUCUGGAUUCUCAAUUUAAGCAUGAACUACACAAGACUAAAAAUUGAACACACCUUCCCCAGAGAACCUGCCAAGCAGUUUUCCAAAGUGGUUGUUACAUGUGUUACAUUCCCACCAGCAAUGUAGGAGAGUUCCAGCAGUUCCAUAUCCUCACCUCCACUUGGUGCCUCUGAGGGAAGUACUCAAAGUAUGGGGAUGCCCACCAAAGCUUCUUUGGUCCAACGAAGGCAGAGGUCUGUUUAACCAUGAUCAUUACGAGAGGCUGACAAAUUUUAAUUUCUGGCUUUGUCCUACAAGGGACCACAGUAAUACUGUCAAGUGACGGGACCAUUUUUUAACAGAGCAUUCUGUGUGAACUGGUUGAAUGGAGUGCCAUGAAAGUCUUUAAUAAAUUAUAGGUGGAUUUAUGGGUUCUGCUCCGGGCCAAGAAGAUCCCUGGGAAGGCUAGAAUUUAUAUGCUGCGUGUGCACUUUAAGAGCUCCUGGUGGAUGGUGCAAAGGACAAGAUAAAAAUAAAGAAGGGAAGAUAAUGAGCCAACUCCUCUUUGUUGGCAAAAAUCUUUGUUUUUCUGCCUCCAAAGUUUUCUGUAACGUUUCCAUUGACCUAGAAGCUAUUGUGCUUUCUGGUGAGUUUCUGUGAAGACCCUACUCUAUGUGGAGAAAGGCCAACAAAAGAGCAAUUCCUGAUGCAUGGGAUGGAAUUGUCUCUUCUAUAGAAUCAAGUUGUAAAACGAAUCUGGACAUUUGUCUGGGGGUGUCUUAACACUGGAAGCAGCUUUACGCAAGUAAGAAAGAAAUGGAACUGGUGAUCAAAGUGUAUUGAUAUUUUUAGGAUCUUGGUACAUAUUGCCAGUGUGAACCCAAGAGAGGUCACAGUAGUUAAUACACACACUGGCUGGGUCGGAGCACUCAGCAACAUUAUUACUACCUUUUACAUCUUUACUAAUGUGGUAGACUGAAAAAGACGUUGAGCCCGAUUCAACAGUCUGCUUACUGUAUGGUUCUAUUUAUGUGAUAUCCUGGAGAAGGAAAAGCUAUUGGGGGAAACAUGUUGGAUCAGGGUUUGGGUGUGAGAAGGAGUGACAGGAGAGAGAUCGGAGGGAAUUUCUUGGGGGUAAUGGAAAUGUUCUGUAUCUCAAUUUUGCUGGUGCUUUCAUGACUAUAUGUAUUUGUCAAGACUCACUGAACUAUACACUUGAAAAGGGUGAAUUUUACUGUACAUAAAUUAUACGUCAAUAAACCUGACUUUUAAAAAAUGA